GGGGUGGUGACGAUGUCAUGGAAACAGCCGUGAUGGAAGCAGACUAGUCAACAGAGGAGCAGAGCAUACCCAAAGAAUAGGGCAUUUCCUCCAAGCAGGAUGUUCAAGUCAACUGCAUUGUUUCAAGGACUCUCAGCUCCUCAACAGAUGUCAUCUCUCCCUGUGGGCGGGCGAGCAACAUUGUGGCUCUGUGGGUCUUCCUCCCCGGCCGUGACGGGAAGCAGUCCUCCACGGACCUUAGCUGCGAUCACAGUGCCCAGAACUCAGCCGGAAGACCUUACCUGACAGCAGGAAGAGGCCUGGAGGAAGACAAGGUGGAGAGUACCGACCAGGAGGAGCAGCCCUGAGGAAACGCCCAGACUAGGGAUCAAGGGUUAAAAAUCCAACCAAAGAGGGACACUAACCCUGCUAUGAAAGCUAGAAUACGACAUAGCUGUUAAAAGCAGACUGCAGAACUACUGGUGGAAUGAACAUACCAAAUACAAUUAAAUUAUAAAGGAGGAGAACUGUGGGACUGUAUGAUUCAAAAUUCAUUUAUUCCCCUAGCCUCUGUUAUGUUUAAAAUUUAAUGGUUAGAAUGUGCUUGUUAGUCUUGAAAUAGUAGAUAAAAUCUGUAACAAAGCAAAGUUCCUGAGUAAAUCAUUCAACCCCUUGUUUGUCCAGAGAACGAAAAUUCCCGGACCCACUAUCGGUAGAACAAUCCAUCACUGAGUCUGCUGAUCAUCAGUACGUGACAGUCGUGACCAUAUGGUCGUGACCAUUACUGUGUGUCUGCUGACCGUUAGUACGUGACAGUCGACCACCAACCUUUGUUCCUUUUUUUCCGUAAAUCUACAUGUUAACCUCCCCCUCAACCCCCUAUAAAAACAGCCUCGGACUCUGAGCCAGUUGCCUCUCUUAGCUACUUUGCUUUGGGAGUGCCGUCUGGCCAGACUAAUAAAGGUCUGUUUUACUUUCCAACUUGUCCGGUGUGUUCCUUCCCGGGUGAUCGUCGCUGCAGUCAGCUCCUCGGAGCGUUUGGUAAGGCCCUCGGUCUUACAGAACCAGAAACAGAAUGAGAUGAGAAGAAUCUGGAAUCUAACUCCAGAAGGAGAGGCAAGCAAUGUAGAGCCCGAUAACGUUUUGCUGGCGAUCUACUUUUAGAAGGAGCUACCCGAUAAGAGUAGGUGGAUUACAGGCCCGGCUACAUCCCACGAGUGAUUUCCAGGAUGACGCCAAGGUCUCCAGCAGCUUCACCUGGGCGGGCUCGCUCCUCCGUGCUUCCGGGAGUCCUGGGGCUUUUCUGUGGACAGUUCCCCUAGUGUGCAGGAGGGAGGCACGGGAGACCCUGCAGAGGC
Molecule: long non-coding RNA, 1337 nt
Filed under: Heterocephalus glaber (naked mole-rat)
Lineage: Eukaryota; Metazoa; Chordata; Mammalia; Rodentia; Bathyergidae
Description: lncRNA (ENSHGLG00000030112.2)
Source: RNAcentral